This 593-nucleotide unclassified non-coding RNA is filed under the name Corynascus sepedonium. RNAcentral's name for it is "sequence contains 18S rRNA gene, ITS1, 5.8S rRNA gene, ITS2, 28S rRNA gene". The stretch from base 222 to 375 matches the Rfam family "5.8S ribosomal RNA". Lineage: Eukaryota; Fungi; Ascomycota; Sordariomycetes; Sordariales; Chaetomiaceae. The record is from RNAcentral.
UGGAAGUAAAAAGUCGUAACAAGGUCUCCGUUGGUGAACCAGCGGAGGGAUCAUUACAGAGUUGCAAAACUCCCUAAACCAUCGUGAACGUUACCCAAACCGUUGCUUCGGCGGGCGGCGCCCUCGCGCGCCCCUGGGCCCCACCGCGGGCGCCCGCCGGAGGUUACCCAAACUCUUGAUACAUUAUGGCCACUCUGAGUCUUCUGUACUGAAUAAGUCAAAACUUUCAACAACGGAUCUCUUGGUUCUGGCAUCGAUGAAGAACGCAGCGAAAUGCGAUAAGUAAUGUGAAUUGCAGAAUUCAGUGAAUCAUCGAAUCUUUGAACGCACAUUGCGCCCGCCAGUAUCCUGGCGGGCAUGCCUGUUCGAGCGUCAUUUCAACCAUCAAGCCCCCGGCUUGUGUUGGGGACCUGCGGCUGUCCGCAGGCCCUGAAAACCAGUGGCGGGCUCGCUAGUCACACCGAGCGUAGUAGCAUACAUCUCGCUCAGGGCGUGCUGCGGGUUCCGGCCGUUAAACGACCUUCAUAACCCAAGGUUGACCUCGGAUCAGGUAGGAAGACCCGCUGAACUUAAGCAUAUCAAUAAAGCGGAGG